UACGGGGGGAGCAAGCGUUGUUCGGAUUUACUGGGCGUAAAGGGCGCGUAGGCGGCGUGACAAGUCACUUGUGAAAUCUCCGGGCUUAACCCGGAGCGGCCAAGUGAUACUGUCGUGCUAGAGUGCGGAAGGGGCUACUGGAAUUCCCGGUGUAGCGGUGAAAUGCGCAGAUAUCGGGAGGAACACCAGUAGCGAAGGCGGCUCGCUGGGCCACACCUGACGCUGAGACGCGAAAGCUAGGGGAGCGAACAGG
This 253-nucleotide ribosomal RNA is filed under the name uncultured bacterium. Its description in RNAcentral is "partial 16S ribosomal RNA". It matches the Rfam family "Bacterial small subunit ribosomal RNA", at positions 524 to 776 of the family's 1533-position model. The record is from RNAcentral.